CUAAGGCUCCGGAGGAAGCCACGGCUAACUCUGUGCCAGCAGCCGCGGUAAUACAGAGGCGGCAAGCGUUGUUCGGAAUUAUUGGGCGUAAAGAGCACGUAGGCGGCCUUGCAAGUCAGUUGUGAAAGCCUUUCGCUUAACGGAAGAAUGCCAGCUGAUACUACAGGGCUUGAGUACGGGAGGGGAGAGUGGAACUUCUGGUGGAGCGGUGAAAUGCGUAGAUAUCAGAAGGAACGCCGGCGGCGAAAGCGACUCUCUGGCCCGAAACUGACGCUGAGUGUGCGAAAGCUAGGGGAGCAAACGGGAUUAGAUACCCCGGUAGUCCUAGCCGUAAA
RNAcentral lists this ribosomal RNA (335 nucleotides) under uncultured Planctomycetales bacterium. RNAcentral describes it as "bacterial SSU rRNA". It matches the Rfam family "Bacterial small subunit ribosomal RNA", at positions 473 to 806 of the family's 1533-position model. The record is from RNAcentral. Lineage: Bacteria; Pseudomonadati; Planctomycetota; Planctomycetia; Planctomycetales.